UGUUCUUUUCUCUCGUGAAGGAUCACGACGUGGCCGAGCUGAUCGCGGUUGGGAGGGAGAAGAUGGGGGCUCUAUCUGCCGGCGGUGCAGGUGUCGCUAUGGUGGCUGGAGGAGGAGGAGGCGACGCUCCUUCGGCGGCUGAGCCAGCGGCGGAGACGAAGAAGGUUGAGGAGGAGAAGGAGGAGUCGGAUGAUGGUGAAGGCAUGAUGAGUCUUUUCGAUUGAGUUUAGUUUAUGACAGAAGGCUUGGAGGAUCUGAUCUUGUCUGAAAUAUUUAUCGCUUUUAAUUUUUGUUUUAAAU
This 300-nucleotide long non-coding RNA is filed under the name Brassica rapa (field mustard). RNAcentral's name for it is "long non-coding RNA (BRAP_LNC001545)". Lineage: Eukaryota; Viridiplantae; Streptophyta; Magnoliopsida; Brassicales; Brassicaceae. The record is from RNAcentral.